AGAGCGAACGUUAGCGGCGGGCCUAACACAUGCAAGUCGAACGAGAAUGGGGGGGCAACUCCCCUAGUAAAGUGGCGGACGGGUGCGUAACACGUAGGUAAUUUACCUUCCGGCGGGGGACAACAGCCCGAAGGGGCUGCUAAUACCGCAUACGUCGGCGAGGUCUCCGGACCUUGUCGGGAAAGAUGGCCUCUCCUUGGAAGCUGUCACCGGAAGAUGAACCUGCGGCCCAUCAGCUAGUUGGUGAGGUAACGGCUCACCAAGGCUAAGACGGGUAGCUGGUCUGAGAGGAUGAUCAGCCACACUGGGACUGCGACACCGGCCCAGACU
This 330-nucleotide ribosomal RNA is filed under the name uncultured soil bacterium. Its description in RNAcentral is "bacterial SSU rRNA". It matches the Rfam family "Bacterial small subunit ribosomal RNA", at positions 26 to 337 of the family's 1533-position model. The record is from RNAcentral.